Molecule: long non-coding RNA, 351 nt
Filed under: Fukomys damarensis (Damara mole-rat)
Lineage: Eukaryota; Metazoa; Chordata; Mammalia; Rodentia; Bathyergidae
Description: lncRNA (ENSFDAG00000026536.1)
Source: RNAcentral
AAAUCCAACAUCCUUACUUUACAGAUGAGAAAAUAAAGGCCAGAGAGAGGAAGAAAGGGACAGGGAUUGCAUAACAGGACCAUAGCGGAGAUAGGAUUCAAACUUGUUCUACUCAGGCUCAUAGCAGCACUUUCCAAUGAUAAUGCACAGGGACCAACUACAAUGACAGCAGAAGAAAAAGAAUGUAUAAUCAACAUUAUAGAAGAGAGCAGGUGAAGUUUUGGCAGUGGAAAGGAGACUUAAAUUAAUAUAAAAUAGAAGAGUGGUAAUAAACUGCAAAAUAAAGCAACAGUGUAGAGUCAGAGUUGAUGGAUACCGUGAAGCAGAUGCCCUUUUGCUUCUACAACCCAG